AUAAAUAUGGCGAAAUGUUAAACGCACUAAAGUUAGAAUUUAGUUAUUUAAGAGUUCAAAUCUCUUUAUUUAUA
This 74-nucleotide transfer RNA is filed under the name Babesia gibsoni. RNAcentral's name for it is "tRNA-Leu". It matches the Rfam family "tRNA". From Rfam's summary of the family: Transfer RNA (tRNA) molecules are approximately 80 nucleotides in length. The record is from RNAcentral. Lineage: Eukaryota; Apicomplexa; Aconoidasida; Piroplasmida; Babesiidae.